UCGAUUCCACACGAUUCCGCCAUUGCUGGUAAAGGAAUGAGCUUUACAUUGUAGAUUUCGAAGUGGGUUUUACGGAUUGGAUUCGCUGCAGUCACAGAGCCACCAUUCUCGUUUCUGGGUUUUGAGCAAGUCCAUUGCUUUUCUUCGUCAGGGUUUUGCACAUCUGAGGUAAGUCUUUUCCGAUUCUGAAGUCUCUCUCUGUUGUGGAAACGAAACAUUGUUGGAGAUUAGGGAAGUAUUAAGACAAGCGAAAACAAAUGGUUGGUAGAGGGAAAUCGAAAUAGGCUUUGUUCCAGAGGUUUUAGUGAUAGAUUGAAGGUUGAUAGCUACUUUUGGUUUGCUAAUCCGUGAAGAAGGAAGUAAAAAUGUGCUUUUGAAUGCUUUGGAUUUGGCUUUAGAAACGUUUCUUACUUCACUUUUUGCUUUCUUGACAAAGUUCUGACAAGUCAUAAG
RNAcentral lists this long non-coding RNA (453 nucleotides) under Capsella grandiflora. Its description in RNAcentral is "long non-coding RNA (CGRA_LNC001629)". The record is from RNAcentral. Lineage: Eukaryota; Viridiplantae; Streptophyta; Magnoliopsida; Brassicales; Brassicaceae.